GGGGUAGUAGCUCAAAGGUAGAGCGUCUGACUCCAGAUCAGAAAGUUGUGAGUUCAAAUCUUACCUGCCUCA
This 72-nucleotide transfer RNA is filed under the name Lotharella vacuolata. RNAcentral describes it as "tRNA-Trp". It matches the Rfam family "tRNA". From Rfam's summary of the family: Transfer RNA (tRNA) molecules are approximately 80 nucleotides in length. Their secondary structure includes four short double-helical elements and three loops (D, anti-codon, and T loops). Lineage: Eukaryota; Cercozoa; Chlorarachniophyceae. The record is from RNAcentral.